AAGGGAUUGAAAUUUUCUCUGUGUUUUAUUUAUUCCCCAACAAAUUCACUUAGAUAUAGAAUAAAUCUGGUUCUUCUCAAACUCAUGUACCCUAGGUUUCCUUUAUUAAAUCAAUUUUUGUUUAAAUUAAAAACAAUCUUAUUUUACAUAUCAAUCUCAGUUCCCACUCCAUCCCAUCCUCCCAUGCUCCCCCACACAAACUCCCCAUCACACCCACCAAACACUCCCAGAGUGUGUGAUGCCUCCAACAAGGCAUCACAAUAUGUGACAUCAAAGUCUGUCACAUAUUUUGGGGCAGGACCAAGACCUUCUCCAAUGUAUCUAGGCUGAGAGAAUAUCCUUCCAUAGAAAAUGGGUACCCAAAGACCGUUUUGUGUACUUGGAUAAAUACUGGUUCCUCUGCCAAAGGCCCUAUAGAGAGCAUAGGCCUUCCAUUGACACCCCCAAUCAAGAAGCCUGGUUCAGUCUUAUGCUAGUUACCCAGCUGUCAUGGGUGUUCAUGUAUUACCACUUGAUCAGGUCAGCUGUUUUUGAAUGUUUCUCUGCCAUGAUCUUGACGCCUUUACUCAUUACUACGCCCUCUCUACAACUGAAUUCUAGGAAUUCAGCUCAGUACUUACCACACAGAAGGCAUCCAAUAUCUUCUAGUUUUUUUUAAGUAUUGGCUUUUACUAAGUUUUUUAAAGGUGGGCAUAUUUCAUAUAUUUUGUAAACAACAACAUACUAUCCAUUCUCUGACUUUUUACUUGCAGGAUUGCAUCCUGUAUUCCAGACAUUAUGAUGGCUCCAUAUAAUUUUUCUGUUUUUACCAGAGAGUAAUAUUGGAAUGUAAAUUUUAAUUAUGUUCCUUGUAAAUUUCUAUAAAUUUAGCACUUGAAAGGGUGAGGCUGAAACAUGUUUGUGAAAUUACAAGUCACCCUAGCCUACCAAUUGAAUUCUAAAUCUACCAGUACCCAAAGUGAGAUUUAUGGCUUAAAAUAUACAGGGUAAAAUACAGUAGAGAAUCAAAAAUUCCUCAAAAAAAGACCUUAAUUACCUGUACGGUUGACCGCACCGCAUGUGGUCACAUGUAUAUAGAAAGGUGUAAACAAGGUAAGAUAGAGCUAGUGCUCUCUCUGUCUCUCUCUCGGGGUUGAACCAGCAUUGGAAAGCUGCUGGGACUCUACCACUAGAAGUGACAACCUGGUUAUGGAUUUUUGUGUGAGUAUAACUCCCAAAUAAAUUACCAGUUAAUAAGCAGUCUCUGAAUCCAUUUGGAUUCAACAAUAGCCUUUAGAAUAUAUCUGUAAGCAACACUGCCUGGUUGCCUUGGUAUUAUUUAGGUCUUCCAUGAUGAUAAAUCCAGUCAACUGUCAGAUAGUACUUCUGUGUGGACAUACUAAUUUUUUUGAUUUUUUAAAUUUAAAUUAUAAACAAGCUUGAUAAAUGUCAAUCCCAGUUCCCUCUCUGUCCCAUCCUCUCAUGAUCCCCACCCCCUAUCCCAUGCCAUUUCUCCUCCCCAGUGAGGUUGGGAACUUCCAUGGGGGAACUUCAAAGUCUGUUAUAUCAUUUGGAGCAGGUUCUAGGCUCUCCCUGGUGUGUCUAGUUGAAAGAGUAUCCCUCUAUGUGGAAUGGGCUCUCAAAGUCCAUUCCUAUAACAUGAAUAAAUACUGAUCCACUCCCAGAGACCCCAUAGAUUGUCCAGGAUUCGUAACUGACAGAUGUGUUCAAGUCUGGAUAAGUUCUUUGCUAGUUUCCCAGCUAUCAGUCUGGGGUCCAUGAGCUCCCCUUUGUUCAGCUCAUCUGUUUCUCUGGGUUUCUGCAGUGCGGUCAUGACCCCUAUAUUAUCCCUCCUCGCUCUCUGCAAGUGGAUUCCAGGAAUAUAGCUCAGUGUUUAGCUGUGGAUGUUUCCUUCUGCUUGAAUCAGCUACUGGAGAAAGGCUCUAGGAUGACCUGUAAGAUAGACAUCAAUUCUCAUUACAAGGAAGCACAUUUAAGACAGCAUCUCCACUAUUGCUUAAAUUGUUAGUUGGGGUAGGUGGAUGUACUUAUUAUAUAUUGUAUAAAUGCACAUAUCUAUAACUAUGUAUAUGAAUAUCCAAAUAUAUUUACAACUCAUUAGACAAAAGAUGAAUUCUAAAUUUUUUAUUAUAGGAACAAAUCAAGCACCAAAUUAAUUUUUCCAUAUUUUAAAUUUUAGUAACCUUCCACAGCACUUGUGUGAAAUUUGGAUACAUUAACUCAAUCAUGUAUGAGGAAAAUAUGUUCAAAGCAGUAAAUAUAUCACACUUAUGAGCCCAAGGAAAGAUGUUCAAUAUGUACUUUAAGUUAUACCAUAUGUAGUUAUCAUUUUGAGUAUUAAUUUAUAAAGUUAAUGUUCACUUCACAUGCUUAUUUUCACUACUUCAUUCUGUUAUACUCCCCAUAUGAUUGUAGCUAUCUAAACACACACAAGGUGACACCAAGACAGAGAAACUUCAUUUGAUUGUGUUCUUGGGGUCACCAAAACAACUCGUUUUUGAAAAAUUAUGCUCACCUUUGAACAAAAUAAAAGGAAAAUUUCUUCAACAACAUUUGAUGGGUUUUGACCCCAAUUAUAGGAAAAGAAAAGGUUGAUUAUGUAGAAAUUCUUUGCCAUUGAUUUGUUAUUAACAGAAAAACAGUGUGCACAAGCUGCAAAACUCAAUGAAAGUUUGCAUAUGACAUUUAGAAACUAACUAUUGGGCCCAACACUGUUUCUCAGGAACAGAUUGCUGACCACGUGAUCUGUGAAAACAAGGCCUCUCAAACAUCCCAGAACACAGACAAAGCAACUAAGUAAUUAUUCCCUGAACAACAUGUAGGCAGAAAAUAGUGUUCAGUUUGAUCCUGUCACACUCCACUCCUAAAUGAACACACACAGGCAUAUAUUAAGUAUAAACUAUUUGUACUUAGGCAAAAUCAUCUUAUUUGCUCACUCUCUAUAAAUCCUAACCCAUUUCUUUUCAUCAGUGAAUCUCCAGGUGGUUUAGCAUAACAGAGGAAAACAGAGCAACCUAAAUUCCCUGAAGUUACAUGGCGACUCUCAGGAGACUCACUCUCCAUAUACCUCUCCCAGAAUUCAACUCUGGCUUCAUUCCCUAUAUGUCCUCAAUGGCUACAUAUUGUCUGACUAUGGGCCAAAAUAGCUUCAUUCAUAAACCAAUAAGAGAAACAUAUAUCCACAGCAUAUAGAAAAGCAUCUGCUUCAGGUUCUAUUUCCUACUGGAGAAAAUAAGGAUUUUUUUUUUAAAAAAAAUUCACAUUGGCCAAUUAUGUAUUUCAAAGUUGAUGAGCAAAAAUUAUGGAUAUCAUUAUGUAGUACAUUAACAUUUGCCAAAUUUUAAGAAAAUAUUCCAUGGUCUGCCCUUGCUUUGUUAGGUUAAAGAAUCAAAUGCAAGUUACAUUUAUCAUAAUUAAGAAAAUCCAUAAUGGUAAUUAUCAGUCCUCAAAAGCAACAAAGAUUCCAGAAGGAUUCUAUAUAAAACAAUAAAUUAGGAGAGACAUCUCUCUUCCAUGAAAGUCACCCAACUUUUGGCGGCACCCUAAGCCCAUCCAUCUUCAGCCAGUAUGGCCAGAACAUGUAGCAGAAUUUUGGAGGAAGAAUAUAAGAAGGAUCAUCCUUUCCCUUGGCGUCUUCAGCAGUCCGUCUUCUUUGGAACCUGUUUGUCUAGUUUGGACACCAUGCUGUCAAGCAGUCAAGGGAAGAGAGGAUUCUCCUCCAAAUAGCAAGUUCUGCCCUGUGAAAGGCAAACUCCAUAACCAGAUUCUUUAAUGACCAUCUUAAUCUCUAAUGUGAUCUGUUGACUUCACAAGAUGAUUAUAGCUAUACAUAACCAAUUCCUAUCAAAUCAUGUUAACGUGUCUAUAAGGAUUUUAUCAAGAAAAAGUAUAGAAAAGAGAAACAAAUAUAGCUACCACUGGAAGCUUUUGUAAGUAAUAAGGAAAAAAUCUGUUAAAAAUAAAACAACAAGUACAAGAACCAAAGAAGAAAAAAUUGUAAAACAACUACCAAUGAGGAUUUCACUAAAAGCUACAGGUACAGGGGACAGGAUGGAGCUUACUCAGCAUGCUCAGCUACCUCGAUCUAUCUGUAAAUCUCCUCUUUUGUGGCAAAAGGACUGGUUUGCCACUCUAUGUAUAUAGUUACACUAUAAUCAAAGAAGGCCAUAAUAAAUAUUUUUGAAAGACCAACAUAGGUUACAUGAAUAUGUCACAGAAGGGAAUAUUUACAUUUAUAAAAGAUGAAAUAGUAUGCCUGCUUUCUAGAGGUCUACAAAGGCUAUGGACGAUAAGAGGAUCUAUUUACAAGUCAUUCCUAAAAUGCUACUCAGGCCAUUAUUUGGGUCAGGAUAAUUAUCAAUGAAGAAAUUACGGGAUAUAAUCCAGGAGAUUCCACCCCGUCAUUCUGAUUGUUUUCCAAGAAAAAAUUCUCUUUGGCUUAACUAAAGUCAUCUAAUUACAAACUAUUUACAGUUUGAUACGUGGGUGCAAACUGAUUCUUCUGUGCCUUUCCAAAACUUGGAAUAGGCAGCUUUUACUUGCUCAGUCAGUGAAGAAACAGAGACUUUAUAACUACUAAGACAAAAUUACGAGAUUAGUAGAAACAUCACUCCUUUGAACGCAGAAAUGAAUUUUCUAAAUAAAGAAACAAAAAAAAAUAUCUUACUACAGUAUUCUGAGGAAAAGGCAAUGGGACAUAUAUAGCAGCGUUUCAGUACUGCAGUCAUGAAUCCCUUCUGUUUCAUGACAUAACAGAGAAACACACACAAGCCCAGAGUUACCCCGAGAUACCAAAACAUACUGGGUAGACACACAAUUUAUAUAGUUUCAAUAAACCAUAGAAAGUCAUAAUAAACAUUUUGUUGAAAGAACAGUAUAGGAUAGAUGUAUAUGUCAAAGAUUGAAAUGUUUACAUUUAUAAAAGAGGAAACAGCAUAUCUGCUUUCUAGGGGACUGCAAAGACUAUGGAUGUUUAGAUACUAUAUUUACAAGGCUAUUUACAAAUAAUUCCCAAAAUGCUACUCAUGCCAUUACUAGGCUCAGGAUAAUUAUCAAUGAAGAAACUACAGGAUAUAAUCCAGGAGAUUCAGCCCCGUCAUUCUGAAUGUUUUCCAUGAAAACAUUCUAUUUGCAUAACUAAAGUCAUCUAAUUACAAACUAUUUACAGUUUGAUACGUGGGAGCAAACAGAUUCAGCUCUGCCUUUCCAAAUCUUGGAGUAGGCAGCUUUUAGUUGCUUGUUGAGUGGAGAGAGAGAGAGAGAGAGAGAGAGAGAGAGAGAGAGAGAGAGAGACUUUAUAGCUACCUGUAAAUAUUACGAAAGUAGUGUAAACUUCACUCAUGUCAAUGCAGAAAUAAAAUUUCUAAGUACAAAAACAAAAGAAAAUUAUCUUAUUACACUAUUCUGAGGAACAUGUAAAGGAACUUAGAUGGCAGCGUUUCAGUACUGCAGUCACGAAACUCUCCUGUUUCAUGACAUAACAGAGAAACACAGACAGACCCAGAAAUACCCCGAGAAAGCCACACAGACUGGGUAGACACACUAUUCACAUAGUUUCACUAUAACUGUAGAAAGCCAUAAUAAACAUUUUGUUGAAAGAACAAAAUAGGAUACAUGUAUAUUUCACAGGCAGGAAUCUUGAUAUACAUAAAAGAUGAAACAGUAUACCUGCUUUCCGGGGAGUUCAAAGACUAUGGAUGGUUAGAUGCUCCAUUUACAAGGCUAUUUGCAAGUAAAAACUAAAAUGCUACUCAUGUCAUUAAUUGGGUCACGAUAAUUAUCAAUGAAGAAAUUACAGGAUAAAAACCAGGAGAUUCAGCCCCAUCAUUCUGAAUGUUUUCCAGGAAAACAUUCUCUUUUGCUAAACUAAAGUCAUCUAUUUACAAACUAUUUACAAUUAGAUCCAUGGGUGCAAACCAAUUUAUCUGUGACUUUCCAAAUCUUGGAUUAGGCAGGUUUUCAUUGCUCAGUGAGUGAAAAAAAAUAAGGGGGAGAGAGAGAUAGAGAGAGAGAGAGAGAGAGAGAGAGAGAGAGAGAGAGAGAGACAGAGAGACAGAGAGAGAGAGACAGAGAGAAAGAGAGAAAAAGUUUAUAAAUGCUAGGACAAAAUUAGCUGAGCAGUAGAAACAUCACUCGUUUUAAGGCAGAAAUAAGAUUUCUAAAUACAAAAACAAAAUAAAUGAUCUUACUACACUAUUCUGAGGAAAAGGUAAAGGGACUUAUAUAGCAGUGUUUCAGUACUGCAGUCAUGAAACUCUCCUGUUUCAUGACAUAAGAAAGAAACACACAGAGACCCUGAAUUAACUCAUCCUCUACUAAUAAAUUCUAUGAAAAUAAUUGACAAAAGUAAAAAUAACAUACACAAAGAAACUAACAUGCACAUAUUCUCACCAUAUAACUAGUUUAUAGCAAAGCAACCUUGAAGAGCUGACCUGAAGACAUAAUGCAAUCUGAAGAUACAGUUAGUGCUUACACUCUAGCCUUCAUGCUAUUACAGCUUGGUUAUUUGAUCAUCAGUAGUGACAGUUAAAUAUUUGCUAAUGUCAAAUUGUAAUUGUAAAAUUGUUUUUUACAUAAUCAAUCAUUAAAAUUUCUUAAUCCAAAAUGAAGAUAAUUUGUUCUACUAUUUUUUUCCAACACAUGAAGCACACAAUAUUUGAAAUUUUUUUUCCUGUUUGAACAGUACUUCUUUCUCAGUGUACCAUUCUUAACCAACUUUGUGAACUAUUCCAUUGUGAAAGGAUAAAAUGAGCUCUACUUGGCA
This 6763-nucleotide long non-coding RNA is filed under the name Cricetulus griseus (Chinese hamster). Its description in RNAcentral is "lncRNA (ENSCGRG00015036019.1)". The record is from RNAcentral. Lineage: Eukaryota; Metazoa; Chordata; Mammalia; Rodentia; Cricetidae.